Molecule: ribosomal RNA, 425 nt
Filed under: uncultured eukaryote
Lineage: Eukaryota
Description: bacterial SSU rRNA
Rfam family: Eukaryotic small subunit ribosomal RNA
Source: RNAcentral
CAAUAGCGUAUAUUAAAGUUGUUGCAGUUAAAAAAGCUCGUAGUUGGAUUUCUGGUGGGGGUGUUUGGCCGGCUCUAAUGAGUUUUGCGCCUAUACGUCUCCGCCAUCCUUGGGGAAAACUUGCUUGGCAUUAAGUUGUCGAGUUUGGGAUCCCCAUCGUUUACUGUGAAAAAUUAGAGUGUUCAAAGCAGGCUUAUGCCGUUGAAUAUAUUAGCAUGGAAUAAUAAGAUAGGACUUUGGAACUAUUUUGUUGGUUUGCGUUACAAAGUAAUGAUUAAUAGGGACAGUUGGGGGUAUUCGUAUUUCGUUGGUCAGAGGUGAAAUUCUUGGAUUUCCGAAAGACGAACUACUGCGAAAGCAUUUACCAAGGAUGUUUUCAUUAAUCAAGAACGAAAGUUAGGGGAUCGAAGAUGAUCAGAUACCAU